RNAcentral lists this ribosomal RNA (450 nucleotides) under uncultured bacterium. Its description in RNAcentral is "partial 16S ribosomal RNA". It matches the Rfam family "Bacterial small subunit ribosomal RNA", at positions 328 to 792 of the family's 1533-position model. The record is from RNAcentral.
UAACCAGACUCCUACGGGAGGCAGCAGUGGGGAAUAUUGGGCAAUGGGCGCAAGCCUGACCCAGCAACGCCGCGUGAAGGAAGAAGGCUUUCGGGUUGUAAACUUCUUUUCUCAGGGACGAAGAAAGUGACGGUACCUGAGGAAUAAGCCACGGCUAACUACGUGCCAGCAGCCGCGGUAAUACGUAGGUGGCAAGCGUUAUCCGGAUUUACUGGGUGUAAAGGGCGUGUAGCCGGGCUGACAAGUCAGAUGUGAAAUCCGGGGGCUCAACCCCCGAACUGCAUUUGAAACUGUUGGUCUUGAGUAUCGGAGAGGCAGGCGGAAUUCCUAGUGUAGCGGUGAAAUGCGUAGAUAUUAGGAGGAACACCAGUGGCGAAGGCGGCCUACUGGACGGUGACUGACGCUGAGGCUCGAAAGCGUGGGGAGCAAACAGGAUUAGAUACCCUUGUA